UACGUAGGGUGCGAGCGUUUAAUCGGAAUUACUGGGCGUAAAGCGUGCGCAGGCGGUUCGUUGUGUCGGCGGUGAAAGCCCCGGGCUUAACCUGGGAAUGGCCGUCGAAACUGGCGAACUGGAGUGUGGCAGAGGGGGGUGGAAUUCCGCGUGUAGCAGUGAAAUGCGUAGAGAUGCGGAGGAACACCGAUGGCGAAGGCAGCCCCCUGGGCUGACACUGACGCUCAGGCACGAAAAGCGUGGGGGAGCAAACAGG
This 256-nucleotide ribosomal RNA is filed under the name uncultured bacterium. Its description in RNAcentral is "partial 16S ribosomal RNA". It matches the Rfam family "Bacterial small subunit ribosomal RNA", at positions 524 to 776 of the family's 1533-position model. The record is from RNAcentral.